RNAcentral lists this ribosomal RNA (442 nucleotides) under uncultured Lactobacillus sp. RNAcentral describes it as "bacterial SSU rRNA". It matches the Rfam family "Bacterial small subunit ribosomal RNA", at positions 348 to 782 of the family's 1533-position model. The record is from RNAcentral. Lineage: Bacteria; Bacillati; Bacillota; Bacilli; Lactobacillales; Lactobacillaceae.
GCAGCAGUAGGGAAUCUUCCACAAUGGACGAAAGUCUGAUGGAGCAACGCCGCGUGAGUGAAGAAGGUUUUCGGAUCGUAAAACUCUGUUGUUGGAGAAGAACGUAUUUGAUAGUAACUGAUCAGGUAGUGACGGUAUCCAACCAGAAAGCCACGGCUAACUACGUGCCAGCAGCCGCGGUAAUACGUAGGUGGCAAGCGUUGUCCGGAUUUAUUGGGCGUAAAGCGAGCGCAGGCGGUUUCUUAAGUCUGAUGUGAAAGCCUUCGGCUCAACCGAAGAAGUGCAUCGGAAACUGGGAAACUUGAGUGCAGAAGAGGACAGUGGAACUCCAUGUGUAGCGGUGAAAUGCGUAGAUAUAUGGAAGAACACCAGUGGCGAAGGCGGCUGUCUGGUCUGUAACUGACGCUGAGGCUCGAAAGCAUGGGUAGCAAACAGGAUUAGA